RNAcentral lists this ribosomal RNA (253 nucleotides) under uncultured bacterium. RNAcentral's name for it is "partial 16S ribosomal RNA". It matches the Rfam family "Bacterial small subunit ribosomal RNA", at positions 524 to 776 of the family's 1533-position model. The record is from RNAcentral.
UACGUAGGGCGCAAGCGUUAAUCGGAAUUACUGGGCGUAAAGCGUGCGCAGGCGGCUAUGCAAGACAGAUGUGAAAUCCCCGGGCUCAACCUGGGAACUGCAUUUGUGACUGCAUGGCUAGAGUACGGUAGAGGGGGAUGGAAUUCCGCGUGUAGCAGUGAAAUGCGUAGAUAUGCGGAGGAACACCGAUGGCGAAGGCAAUCCCCUGGACCUGUACUGACGCUCAUGCACGAAAGCGUGGGGAGCAAACAGG